This 11703-nucleotide long non-coding RNA is filed under the name Mytilus galloprovincialis (Mediterranean mussel). The record is from RNAcentral. Lineage: Eukaryota; Metazoa; Mollusca; Bivalvia; Mytilida; Mytilidae.
CCCGAGGGCUUCGUACGACAUGGAUGUGUCCGGUUUACAUUUUUUUUAAAUAUAGAACAACAACUAUAACACUUUAUAUAAAACCUACAUUUAUAUACACAUAUAACAUACCUGCCACCAUAAAUACACAAACAUGUACCAUCAUUUUUUUAACCUCCAUUUUUAAGUCCGUACACCCAAUGAAUUAGUAUGCUUUUAAAAUUUAAGUUUCACCGUAAUGUUAAAAGUCACAGAUGAGUUAAUACGUCAUGUGCAUUCAUUCCCACAUUACAAAAAUAAGUAAUAAAUCUUAAGUGGUUGUGGCUAUUUUACGCAAACAACGUGUAAACAUUGAUAACAAUAUAAGAGUCUCGAAUUACUUGUCAACAAAAUUUAAUGAACUUUUAUACAUGUCAAGCUUUUGAUAAAACUACAGGUAAGUGUUGACAGAUCAUCUGUAAGAAAGGAUAUUUAAGUUUCAUAUGUAAAAAUAAUUUUGCUAACGGUAAAAUUAGCUUUUGGCUUAAGGUUAAAAAAAAAAAAAAAAUCUGUUCCAAAUUUUAUGCAGACAAACAUCAUGUGGUCUAGCCUGGUACUAUUAUACUGUUAUAGUGUUAGUAUAUAAUAGUUCCAGGGUCAAGCAGAUAACAAACGAAAAAUAUUCUGAAUCCAGAUUUUCCAAAUACCUUUGAGGGUUAAAUUUGGAAAAAAAUAAUUUGAUUGAUAGCGCCGGAAAAUUAAAAAAAAAAGGCAAUUUGUGCCUUAGACAUAAACGUCCACCUCCCCCGGCCACACACUCUUGAAGUACAAUGGUUGCUCCCUUAUACUCGUUACGUUUCCAAUAUUGGUUAAGUUUAUGGUACAGUCUGAGCUAUAUCUGUUUUCAUUCGAUUAAAAUGUAGAUAUAGGGGAACGACACUUUUAGAGGAUCGUCCAAACAAAUAGUAUGUAUUUACUCAAUGAUUCGUCCUAAAUAAAAAUUAAUUGAUUUUUGAGUGCUAAAUGUCAAGUGGCAAAUACUGCAUGUAUUUUCCGGAUGAUAAAGAUAAGAAAAUAAAAAAAAAUCGUUCUGAUGGAUUUAUAUUAAUGUAAUAAGACAUGAAAAGCUGCGCCACAAGCGCAUGUUACGAUCGCUACUUAUUUCAAAAAUAAAAAGUUCAACAUCUAUCAUUGUCAUUUCGCAAAUUCUUAAUUUGAAAAAAAAAAAAAAAAAACAAAGGGAGCUUGUUUUAAUGUAUAUAAACUAGUUAACUAAGUGUUGUGUUAACUGCUCAAUUAAUUUUUUGGAAAUAAAGUACAAAAAUGGAAAUUCAGAAAUUCUUAAAAAUACAAAGGAAUCUUUAUAUAAACAACUUUUAAUGACGGACGCACGGACAACGGUAUAUCGAAAUACAUUCCAUACAGGGGCAAAUGAAAGACUAAUUUGAUAAAGUGCAACCAAAGACAACGAAUGGAAUUUACAGGACACUAUUUGUAAUCAAGAAAAAAACUUAAUAGCUACAAACAUACACACAUAAUUAAUAUGGACAAGUACCGUUAUUGAGGUCAAAUUCGUAUAUCUAAAUAAUAAGUUUCUGUGGGAGUUAAUGUUAUUCAAACAUGCCACGUGUUUAACAAGAUGAGAGGCUUAUAACCCUGACAUGAUCACUAGCCAGUCAAUACUUGGGAUGUGAAGUCGAAGCCCGCUCGUGCGGGUUCACUCGACUCCAAUCUUAAUUGACUAGGAUUGUAAAUAUAAAAAAGAAGAUGUGGUAUGAUUGCCAAUGAGACAGCUAUCCACAAAAGUCCAAAAUGACACAGACAUUAACAACUAUACGUCACCGUACGGCCUUCAACAAUGAACAAAGCCCAUACCGUAUUCUUAUCUCAUAAGUUUUCCUAUCUCGAAGAUCGAUGGAUUACUCCCAGCACUCCGGCUUCCUCCACCAAUAAAAUCUAACCGCCACGAAAUAGCUUAAAGUUGUGGAGAAAAAUACCUUAAAGACAUUAAAUUUCAAAACAUAAUAAAUGUAUUAUAUAUUUUUAACAUUGACCUAUUACGAAGUUUUAUGUUUAAUGCAAUAUUUAAUACCUGUUAUCAUCCAAAUAAAUCUAUUUCAUCAUAAAUAAAGACGGAAUAUUAAAUUCACAUGGCAUUCAACAUUUAAAGUAAUCCAUUUACACAACAUGUUUUAUUAAGUAAAAAAGGGAGAUAACACGGGUAACACGUUUAGCACUUUCACUAAAUUCUUAUUGGUAGAUUAGUACACGCAAAAGCAAUCAAAGCCAUAACUAUUAUUCGUGGUUUUUUUUAAACUUUCGACAACUCUAUCUUUUGUAAUGAUGUAUGUUGAUAGCUGAUCAAAUAAAUUUAUUUAUCUAUCUAUCUUUUUUUCAAGAAUUAAUUACUGUCCUGUUGAUAUACGUGUGUGUGACGGGAUUGUUUUCAUCAGAAAAUGUGGUAAAUACUUAGUCAGACGUUGACGGUGGGGAAAUAACGUAAACUUCUUUAUCUCAGUCGAUAAGCAGUUGCAUCCAGGGGGUCCAUUUGGAUGAAAAGCUAAAUGUUGAAAAAACAGACUCUGGUAAUAUUCUUUCUGGGGAUGAAAUUAACACCCUUUAUAAUAACAUGAGUAGAAAUUACCCUUCUCAAUCAGAAGUGAACGAUUAUGAUUAAAAAAAAUAAAGCGGUGGUUUGUGACACAGAGGUUCAGUGUUCGAGUCCUUAUGGAGACAUAUUGUGUUGAUGUUUUGUGGUGUUUUGUGUCCCAACAAUUGUAAAGCGCUAUGGCUCAAUCCAGGGGGGAGGCUCACGGUAGGAGGUCGGGCACAGCAACAAGAAAGAAAACCAAACUAGAAUAUCAAGAAACUCGCUAUUAAUUUAAUAAAGAAAACAUUAAUAUAAAUACAAUAUAAUUUCGAUGUACACAUUUUGAAGUCAAAGUAAGCUGAAAACAAUGAUAAAAUAGUACAAACAAUUCAGGUUACAUAUUAGAUAAUAACAAUAAUAAUUACUUUUAAAAUAAGCCUCUGAAUUUAAAUAUUAGCUACUUAUUAACUUUAUUUUUUUUUCAAAAUAGAAUUAAAAGAAAAAUAAUUUUAAAUCUAAAUAAUUUUCAAAACCAAGCAUAAGAGACUCACCUAGAAUAUCUAGAAACUCGCUAUUGAUAUCAUAGGCAUAUAUAUAUACUAAGUUUUGCAUGUACUAGUAACCCCUAACUGACUGUUACAAACAAAAGAUUUGCUGACGAAGGGUGACCGUUGUCCGAACUUUUAAGAUGUUUUAUAAAACUUUAUUAGACAUAUAACCGGAGGUCAGUUUGACUACUUCUGAAGUUUUAUUGUACAGACAAGUUCAAUAGUUUAUAAAAGUGCUUUAUUUGACAUAAAUAAUUAUUUGAAAUGUCCUACGAUUGAAAAAUGUAUAGAACAUUUAGACACUAAUUUUAUGUAAAAUAGUUUACAAAGUAGAACUUACAUACAUUAACUAAUAAACUAUAUGAAAUAAAAAAAACUGCAUUUUUCUAUUACAAUAGACACGUAAUUUUGUAAUGAAAUUCGUGCUCUCCGGUUACAUACGCAUAACCUUAUGUGACCGACAGAAAGCCGGAUGUAAAUCUAUUUUGGGUUUUCAUCUUUUCGUUGCAUAAUAAUGUAACUACGCACUUUGUGUUAAAUACUUUAAGUUUGAAACGAAGGUAUGUGAAAUAAAUCUUCAUUGUAAUUUCAGAUUUACAAACAUUUAUAGUUUAAAACCAUUGGUGUAUAAACUAUAUCUAGAACCGGACCAACUUUUGACGAAACUGAUAAAUUCGUUCAUUCAAGUAAAAUGUAGUACAUCCAAGUUAAAGCAGCAUUAGCUGUUGAAUUCAUGUUCAUCGAUUUGACUCAAAUUAUAUUCAGGAAAACUAUUGAGUACCAACAAGACAAAUCUCCAUCAAAGUCAUAAUUUGUAAAUGUAAAUCAUUAUAGGUCAAAGUACGACCUUCAACACGGAGUUUUGGCUCACACAGAAUUGCACGUUCUAAAAGGCACAAAGAAUUACAUUUUUAUACUAGUGUAAAUUCUUCAAACAUGAAAACCAACGGUCUAGUGUAUAUAAAAAUAAGAAACGAGAAAACUUUAUGAACACACUACGUCAAUAGAUAUAAAACGUCCACCAAUGUAAAUGAAAAUUGGCUAAUUGGUGUUAUUGAGUUUUUGUCUGCCUUGUUGACGGACGGACAGACAGACGGAUAACGGUAUACCGAAAUACUUCCUAUACAUGGGCAAACAAAAGACCAAUCUGAUAGAGUGCAAACAAAAAAAAACAAAUGGAAUUACAGAACAUGAUUAUUUGUAAUCAUCAUACAUAAAUGAAAAUUAAAGAAGCUUAAGUUCUGCAAACAAACAAAAAUAAUUGAUAUGGACAGUACCGUUGUUGAGUUCAGUGGUGAUACAUGUAUAUCUACAUACUAGGUUUCUGUCACCUAUUGUUAAUUAUGCAUAUUGUUAAUAUUGUUUGUAAUAUGCUAUAUGUAUACACUGUACAUGUAAUUGAUUUCACUGAUGAGCCAUAAUGCUAAAAUAUAAUAAAGAGUUUGAAUUUAGAAAAACCAGCUGCCAGAGAAAAAAAUGUAUGUUGCAAUUAGUUGCAGGUUGUUUACUAGUUUGACUAGACUAUUGUAUUACACUAUCAUUCAACUUUGUAAACUUUGUAAACUUUGUACAACUAAAUAAAUGUAACUAUAAUUUCAUUAUUAAAGAUUUAACGGAACUAAAUGUUACCGCUUGCUACUACCUGUGUUAGUAAAGAGAACACACUCGUAUUGCCUGUUAUCAUUCCAAUAAAUCUAUUUCACUAUUUCAUAAUAAAUUAAGAAUAUUAAAUUCACAUUGCAUUCAACAUAAAGUACUUCACUAAUUUUCAUUUAACCGUGAAAUUCCGUGUCAUUGGGUUUAAGUAUCUGAAAAUUGUUAAGUUUUUUUUGUUUCUACAAAGCUUUAGGAUGUUUUUUAUGCUAUCAUAAGCAAGAGAAAAGAAAACAACUGACAGCAAAGGAUUAAAUGAUCCAGAAAUUUCAGUCUAAGUUCAUGGAAUGUAGAACAGAUGCAUGAUGAUGCAAAAACGUCUAUGUCAUAAUUUAUCUAUAAUACUAAAAUUACGAGGUCCAAUUUGUCAGCCGUCAUCACGUAAAAACGACGAAUCAAAGAAAACUUUAUAUAUAACUAAUAUGUACUAAGGGUGUAGAUUAAAAAUUACACCACUUCAGGCCUUUUGUUUUUCCACUAUUAAUAUUGCCAAUUAAUUAAGAAGUUCCGGGUGAGUCCGAUACCGAUACCAAUAGUAUAUUCACCUGUUCCUAUUUAUCUGUACGUUCCGCAUCUGACAGGCGCGCCAACAAACGGUGUAUUUAGGAUUAAUAUGCUAUAUACACGGGUCAUAAUCACAGGGUUAUAAUCACAGGGUUGACACUAUUAAAUUGUCGAAUUGUUACCUAUUGUUGUAUUUUAAUCAGUAAGACUUUCUAAGAUAACAAUACGAAUACAAAAAAUCUGGACUAAAAAUAAGGCGUAUAGGUACAGUUUUCAAUUUGUUAGCGGGCAUGACGUAAAUCAGCGAAUCAUUUUUUUAUUUUGAAGAAUUCAACUUUAUUUAUAACUAAUAUAGGACAAUGCUGUUGAUUAAAAGAUACUCCGUUCCAGGACCUUUUGUUUUAAUAAUUAAUAUUACCAAUAAUUGAUAAGUUCCAGUUCGACGGGUUCACACAGAAAGAUUUGAAAGCAGAGAAAACUGUGUAUCUUAUAAUCGGCAUGACUUUAUCAGAUGACAAUACUAAUUAUAAAUACUAAAAUAAUGCUUGCGCAUAGUUAUAUACUUUAAUUCAGUCACGGACCCGCGAUAUCACGGGUGUGUUCUAGUAUUAUAUAUGUUUGUACUUGCAAAUAGCGGUGAAUUAUUUGUUCAUACCAUUUAGCUACUAGCAAUUUAUAAUCAUUUAAACAUACUUUUCUUUCCGAGCUGACUUGUCCAGUUUUAAAAUCCCGAUCUUCAAAAACUUUUUGUAUCCUUCAAUGUAAUUUACGAAUCCAAAGGCCUAUGACUAUGGAAACACAUAGCAUAACAGACAAUAAGUAACUUUUACAUGUUCAUUUUAUCCCUAUAUAACUAUACUAUAGAGAAUAAUUAAUUUUGACCCAUAGUUCAAAGUGAAAAUAAAACUAGAAACAAAGCAUAUUUUUUUGCCUAUGUUAAGUUAAGAUUGUAAUCCAUCAUCUAUACAUUACAUCAAGUUACCAUAUGAAUCUUUAAUUACUAACUCUAAAAAGGAUAACGCAAUAUCAGAAUCUUGUCAUGAAUUUUAUACGACUUUCAAAAAUGUUAAUUGAAAGCCGCAAUGUAAUCUACGAGUCGUAAUCUACGAGUCUUUAUCUACGAGUCAUGAUAUCACAGAAAAGGGGUGUAUCGAUGGAAAGGGAGUGUAACGCAUAAUAUACAUAUCUUUCUUUUUGAUCACCUCUUUCAAUUGGAAGUUCCAUUGGCGGCAUGAUUUAAAUUGAUGACAAACAAUAACGCAUCCAAAUUGUUUACAAUCAGGUAAGUCAAAAUAUGUUUCCAUUCAUAUUUUGAUACAUGUAACAAGUACUUUAAUUAUAUCUUUUCAAAAUCAAAUGUUUGUUUUGGCUUUGCAAUGUAAAUUAGUUGAUGAUCAUGCGUGAAGAAUAUGCGAUCAUAGUGCAGAAAUGACACAAUUACUGUCCCGUUAAUUUCUAUGUUUUGUCCCUUAAAUUACAAGAACUUCAUAAGUUAAAAGAAAUGAGGUUAGAAAUGUUAUAUGACUGCGAAUGAAGAUUAUUUUAGAACAUAUAUGUAGGACUCUAAAGUGCGAUGGGGACGCUAAAGUGCGAUGGUCUACGCUAAAGUGCGAUGCCUACACACGCUAAAAGGCGAUGGUUCGCGAAAGUAUCUAUAGACGUAAUUAACGUACUAUGGAUUAUGACGUGAACAGUCUUUUAUACAAAAAAAAAAAAACUGAACAUGCCGAAAGAUAAAUGUAGAAUAUUUGAUAAACAACUUUAAACCAAAUGUCCAUGACUUACUCAUUUUAAACAUAACCGUGCUUUGUCGGCUGAGGGAAAUGUGUUUUUUUUAGGGUGCUGAAAGAAGGACUUGUGUCCUGCAGUCUACUAUACAGAUACAAAAGUAUAGUUUACGCAUAAGUAUCCUUUAUCCUAUUUCUAUUAGAAGCUAACGGAUACAUUGAAAUAAUUCUUUAUGUAGCAGUUUACUUUCCGGUCCCCGUUAACAUAUUGUCGAUUUAUUUGAAAAUUAAAGUCGGUAAAAUAAAAGUACAUGUUUUCAUGCGUAAAUCAUAAAUUGUCUGCUAAAAAAUUAGUUUGUACAUUGUAGGAAAAUACAACCUGUAUUUGUAUUCGCUGUGAAAAAAGAAGAAAGCUCGGAGAACAUUGCAUUUCUCUCAUUUAAAUUAAGAAUGUUUUAAACAAAUAAAUGUUUCACGAUAAAGGAUUUGUAUUUUUAAUUUACAAUGACGUCGAUAACCCUCUUGAUGCCAGAUUUAAAAAAAUCAACGUUUCGACGUUGUCAAUAGGCAAUUACAUUUUGACGUCGCCAGUGUCGAAUUCUUUUGACGUCGUCUUUUUGGCGUUAUUUUUUUCAUUUUGAUUUAUAAAGUAAUUUUUUUAGGCGAACGGCAUUCACAAGGGCGGUGACCAGGAGAACAUUUUGAUAAUGCUAUAUUGACUGAUUAAAAUCUUUCUAUACAAAUUUGCAUCUUCAUGGACAAAGGAUAUUCACAAAUGUAAAGUUAUUUGAUAUUUUUUUUAAAUGCUGUUGGAUUCGUGCAAUUAUAAAAAGUUCUUUUUUAAUUGCAAGAGAAUAUUGUAAAUAUUAUGCGCCGCGUACAAUUUUUGACUACAUAUUUUCAUAUCAUAACAGUUUUUAUUGAAAAGAUAUUUUAGGGUAUUUAUGGGCGGUUUUUACCAGACCUUCUGUUGAAGACACGGAAUUGUCGGAAGUACAUUUGUUUAUAUGGUCAUAAUUUUAUCUUUGAUUGUUUUUAUGAUUGUUUUUAUUUUCUACUGAUGUCGACAUUUAUAAUAAUAUUUUCAAAACCAAUUUUAGUAAAAUAUAUGGCAAAUUUCAGGAUAAAAAAAUAGUGUUUAUAUCUCCAGUAAAAAAUAGUCGUUCAAUGAUAAAUAUAACCUGAUGAACAAAUAGAUAUGUGAUAACAACAAAUAUAUUGGUUGAUUGACAUCCCAUUAGAAAUAACUUUAUAAAAUUUAUUCAGAAAAUGUAAUAUAUAGCCCAAAGUUGUUCGUUAAAAAAAUCUUCUCGUCACUGUAUGAAAGGGGUUCGUACAUAAUUUCUUCUAAAAGGGCAAUGAAGCGACAGUUAUAAUCGUUUUUUUCCAUGUUCAAAUACUUUUAUUUUUAAAUAAGUAACAUUUUAUUUUUCUAUAAGUAACAUUUAUUUUUCUAUAAGUAAAAUUUUGCUAUAAUUGCCGAUACAAAAGGAGGCGCGUACUGUCGGAAUAUUUUCUCGCAUCAUUGUCCUGUGCUGUCUGAAUACAUGAACCAUGUGAGAAAUAUUUUUUUUUAUAUCUUACAUGUACACAUUUUUUUUCUUGUAUAUAAUGUUUAGGGAUAAAUUCAGAAGACUGGCUUGAGUUUAUCUUAACUCGUCUCGACACGGGACUAUUUACUUUAUGAAGUAUUAUACAUUUUGUAGAUGUGAUUGCGUAUUGAAUGUUUGUCGACCUCUAUAUGUAUUGUUUUUUGAAUUUAUUGUGUCUUUUGAUGUAGGCCUAGAUAAAAAUAAAUUGCUUGAAGGUCAUGAAAUGCCUUUUGUGUAAAUUUCUGAAUAACCAAAUCAAUUUCUAAAACAUAGCAAAUACAAAACAGUAUGAAAGGAAGUAUUGCCCGUAACUAUUAUCUAAAAUAAUUUUAGUAUCCAUACUCCUUGUACUCUUCACGUGCAAAACAACUUAUAUUAUUUCUCACUUGUAUAUAUGACUAUGUUACAUCAUUAUCCGAAUAAAAAAAAAAUAAAAAAUAGGUCCAGAUUUUAGAGGCCUAAUAGCCGCUACUGGUUUUGUGUAACAAAAUUGUGCCAGUAUAGAGGCCUUUGGUAUCCCGUUUAGUGAAAUUCAAAUCCCUAGCUUCUGUUAAAUCCGGAAAAAUCCGACUUUAAAUAUGCGUCUUUAAAAUUUCAAGUUAGAUACAGAUGGUACAUGCAUGGCUAAAAAAUACCAAAAUAAUGUCAUGAACCGAUCGAUAUUUAAAAAAAAGGAUCUGUAAAGGGUCUAUAUGGAAUUUGAAUAAGCUGAUGCUAAUAUAAAUGAAUAGUCCCUGAGCAAUACCAUCUCCUAGAAAUCAUAUUGGAAAUAGAAAUACAGAACCCGUUACUUCUCUUUAAAGGUUAAAAAUCGUUAAUUAUCACUUGUUCCCCUCUCAAUUAAAUGAUUAAAACUUAUUUGUUAUAUUUGUACACGAAUAUGAGUAAGCCAAGUAUAGUAUUAUGAAUUAGGCCAUUCAUUUUCUCGAUUAAAUUGUUUCCCAUUUUACAUUUCGGGGCCUUUUGUAGGCGACUAGUUGUACUAUUUUUCUCAUUGUUGAAGGCCGUACAGUUGCCUGCAAUAUUGCUAACAUCCACUUCAUUUCAACUUUGGUUGAUUGUUGUCUCAUAAUGAUCAUUGGCAGCUAAACUUAUCCCCUUAUUUUUUUAUUAUAAGUAUGAAAUAUUUGUCGCUGAACUAAAUGAUAGGCAAUUAGUUAAUCGUAAAUUCAGUUUUAAAAUACAUGUAGCUUUAGUUAAGAUUUAAACUAAAUAUUUCGUCUAUCAAUUAAGUGAAGCCGACUGAAAGUGUCCGUCAAUAAUGCACCAUAUAUACAUGUAUAUAAUGUUUAAUAGUGACACGAUUUCAGUCCUAAAAUUCAUGUUUAUAAAAUAUUUUUCCUACGGGAUUUACACAAAUAAAAGUCUUAAGUUUACGAAACGUAUGUUUGUGAAAACCCAUUCCUCCUUCAUAGCAGGAACUCAGCUAGCAAUAAUAAAGAACACUUUUAAACAUCAAAAGGAGUGUAUAACAUUAAGGUAUAUAGGAAAAAAAUUCUUAGACAAGUGCCUGUGUUAAAUUCCAAUGGGCGUAAACUAAUAUAUAUGAAAUUUUGUUUAUCAAAUUAAAGUCAAGACUUAGUAUUUGUCGCUUAUCAAUCAAACACCAUUUGGAUAAAAGGAACUCAACUUAGAUAAGUAAAUGUGGGCAUUGGCAGUGUUUGUUUUAUCGAUCAUCUAAGGGAAAUUCUGUUUAGUUCCAUGCUCAAAAUUUAUAUUUUAGCGUUUUUCUAAAUUUUCAUAACUCCAAAUCUCAACAUUCUUUUCAGUAUCAGUUUUCUUGGGCUAUUGUUCUGUCAUGGGUGGACCGAUUUCCUGUUUCGGACCGUCUGAGAGGAUAAACAUAUAAACAUUUAUGUUCGAACAUACGUAAUGUGCGAAACUUUAUAAGGCAUUUUUCAACACACAGUCUGACGAAUAUGUCGGAAAUGCGUUUAAGAAAGUGUUUUUUAUUAUGUUAGUCUGAUAAGUAACGAUGAAAAAAAGAAGGUGGCCGGGUCUUAUUCAAUAAUCUCGUGUCAAUCUUUAAAUUUCAGCACCAGUAUCAUGUGCUUGCAAAGAUCUGCAUAUAUGAAAACCAACGUUGUCGUUUGUCGCUGGAUAACUUAUUUUUUCUGAGAAAACAAAUUUAAUUUACUUUUGUCAUAAUUAUAACGUCAUAAUGACGUCAUGGAUAUUACGUCAUUGCUUCAAAAUACACUUAGAUGACCGAAGGUCAACAAUGUUAUUAAGCUUUAAUUAUUUACUGUAGUAAAAGUUGCAAAAUUUUGAUUUAUAGUAUAUACUAUUGUUGAAACGACAUAUAUGUCGCCUUGGCAUCAAACCCCCUAACGACGUAUAUGUCGCUUUGGCAUCAACACUAAAACGACAUAUAUGCACAAGAUAGAUAGAGCGACAAGCUUCAUCAAUUAUCCAAUAUUUGAUACGCCCGAAUUUCUUCUUAAUUUAGAAACAAUCACUUAAGCCUACCGGUAAUUAUAAAGCCUAUCACAUAUGUUAUAAACCCUUAUCAUACCGUAGGUUUUGCAAAAAGACUAUUUAUUACAUCCGUGUUCUAUAAAGUUUUUAGCCCUUUAACAUUACCCUUUUGGUCCAUCGCACUUUACCGUGAUAAACCAUUGUACUUUAGCGAACAAACAGCCGUCGCACUUAAGCGUGAUACACCAUCGUACUUUAGCGUAGACCAUCGCACUUUAGCAUAAUUGUCUGUGUCAUUUUGGUUUUUUGUGGAUAGUUGUCUCAUUGGCAAUCAUGCCACAUCUUCUUUUUUUAUAUUGUUUGUGAUUAUCAAUGACAAAAAUACAAUGACAAUUGUUCCUGUUUGUAGUCUCGUAAAUUAAAUUUGUGUACAUUUUAAUUUGAUGUGCACAAAUCUUAUCUGUGAAUGAUUUUUUGUUACUUUAUCACAAACAUCAGUCAAAAUUAUCAAAUUCAUUUGUUUUGAUAAAAAAAUAUUAUUUUCAGGUCAAAAUGGCGAAGUCUAAAUCACAAAGGAUGAAAUAAUACAGAGAAAGGAAAAGACAUUUCUAGGAGAGAACCGAUUGAUAGAAGAAAGUUAUAGAACCGGAUGAUAUUAUAAUUCAGCACGUCAACUUAACAGUAAAGAGAAGAAGUUGACACCAGAUGUCCAC